Molecule: ribosomal RNA, 468 nt
Filed under: uncultured bacterium
Lineage: Bacteria
Description: partial 16S ribosomal RNA
Rfam family: Bacterial small subunit ribosomal RNA
Source: RNAcentral
GACGAACGCUGGCGGCGUGCUUAACACAUGCAAGUCGAACGGAAAGGCCCUGCUUUUGUGGGGUGCUCGAGUGGCGAACGGGUGAGUAACACGUGAGUAACCUGCCCUUGACUUUGGGAUAACUUCAGGAAACUGGGGCUAAUACCGGAUAGGAGCUCCUGCUGCAUGGGGGGGGUUGGAAAGUUUCGGCGGUUGGGGAUGGACUCGCGGCUUAUCAGCUUGUUGGUGGGGUAGUGGCUUACCAAGGCUUUGACGGGUAGCCGGCCUGAGAGGGUGACCGGCCACAUUGGGACUGAGAGACGGCCCAGACGCCUACGGGAGGCAGCAGUGGGGAAUAUUGCACAAUGGGCGGAAGCCUGAUGCAGCAACGCCGCGUGCGGGAUGACGGCCUUCGGGUUGUAAACCGCUUUCGCCUGUGACGAAGCGUGAGUGACGGUAAUGGGUAAAGAAGCACCGGCUAACUACGUG